AACGAACGCUGGCGGCAUGCCUAACACAUGCAAGUCGAACGAGACCUUCGGGUCUAGUGGCGCACGGGUGCGUAACGCGUGGGAACCUGCCCUUAGGUUCGGAAUAACUCCCCGAAAGGGGUGCUAAUACCGGAUAAUGUCUUCGGACCAAAGAUUUAUCGCCUUUGGAUGGGCCCGCGUUGGAUUAGCUAGUUGGUAGGGUAAAAGCCUACCAAGGCGACGAUCCAUAGCUGGUCUGAGAGGAUGAUCAGCCACACUGGGACUGAGACACGGCCCAGACUCCUACGGGAGGCAGCAGUGGGGAAUAUUGGACCAUGGGCGAAAGCCUGAUCCAGCAAUGCCGCGUGAGUGAUGAAGGCCUUAGGGUUGUAAAGCUCUUUUACCCGGGAUGAUAAUGACAGUACCGGGAGAAUAAGCCCCGGCUAACUCCGUG
RNAcentral lists this ribosomal RNA (433 nucleotides) under uncultured bacterium. RNAcentral's name for it is "partial 16S ribosomal RNA". It matches the Rfam family "Bacterial small subunit ribosomal RNA", at positions 29 to 507 of the family's 1533-position model. The record is from RNAcentral.